UAAAACUAUGUUUGUUCUGUAUGUUUA
Molecule: non-coding RNA, 27 nt
Filed under: Bombyx mori (domestic silkworm)
Lineage: Eukaryota; Metazoa; Arthropoda; Insecta; Lepidoptera; Bombycidae
Source: RNAcentral